Molecule: long non-coding RNA, 548 nt
Filed under: Sinocyclocheilus grahami
Lineage: Eukaryota; Metazoa; Chordata; Actinopteri; Cypriniformes; Cyprinidae
Description: lncRNA (ENSSGRG00000046698.1)
Source: RNAcentral
GGGCUAGAGUGCAAACUUGCAUCAUUGAUCCUUUAUAUGCAGACAAUUUUGCAUGUUUCAAAAAGUGCAACUCAGGAGAUAUUAAACUGGAUGAGCGAUAUUGUUUCAUUCUUCCCUUCAAAAGGAAAGGGAUGCAUUACAUGAGGAAUUGAAGAAGAAACAUCUCAACAUGGCAUUUGUUGACUCGAAAAUGGAAUCGACAUUCUCAUUGAGAAGGAAGGAGAUAGCUGAAGAAGAACCUCUUUUAGCUGAUGUACUAAGACAAUGACCAGCAUUGUUUUUGGAACAUCAGAUAUGUGCUGAGUUUUACAGAAUCACACAAACAAACCUGAAGAGUAAAUUUUUCUCUUCUCUGGAUGAAUAUACACCGCGGAUGAUCAAGUUGUAUAGGGUACGCGGCGGAGCAUAUGGAGAUAAUAUGAAGACCCUCCUAGACCAACUUGAUAAUCAGACCUCCGAUGUGCUUGCUCAUAGAAAGGCUACAGCUCUCAAAGGGAAAAGUCUGAACAUUUCCUGAAGACUUGCCUGGACACAGAGCCAGAAGAAAA